GGGGCCGGUUAGCUCAGAUGGUCAGAGCGUGGUGCUAAUAACGCCAAGGUCAUGGGUUCAAUCCCCAUGAAAGUCUGCUUCA
Non-coding RNA from Solea solea (common sole), 82 nucleotides. The record is from the annotation of a RefSeq genome assembly. NCBI's taxonomy places the organism in Eukaryota, Metazoa, Chordata, Actinopteri, Pleuronectiformes, Soleidae.